Long non-coding RNA from Trachemys scripta elegans, 1125 nucleotides. RefSeq lists it as uncharacterized. Lineage: Eukaryota; Metazoa; Chordata; Testudines; Emydidae. The record is from RefSeq and is a predicted model, not a curated record. The transcript has 3 exons.
CACACCGACUUUUUGUCUCCUGAACUUCAGCUGGAGAAGCUUCUCAAGGAAGGGAAAGAACUAUAAGAAGGAAGGGCAGACACUCCAAAUCAUCCAUCCCUUUCUGUCACCCCCAACACCUGAAGAACAAAGGAAGCAGUAUUGGACUGGAGAAGGGAUCCUGACUGAAAGAAGUUCAGCAAGAGGACCGCUGAAACGCGUGAUUCAUAGAUUUCAAGGCUAGAAGGGAUCAUUGUAAUAAUCGAGACCACAGGCACACAAGCCAGACAACUUCACCAAAAUAAUUCCUGAAGUAUAUCUUUUAGAAAGACAUCCAAUCUUGAUUUUAAAAAUUGUCAGUGAUGAAGACUCCACCACGACUCUUGGGCCACUCCCAUGCUUCCUUAUGCCAGGUGGAGUUAACAAGCUACCUGCAACCAUGAAUCACCAGGACUGACUGAAUGUUUCCCAAGAUGAUCAACACCUGUUGACAGGAUAGGUUCACAGGAAAACACAGUCAUCCAUCUCAUUACAGAUCCAUCUCAGAGGUAGUUUAAUUUCAGUGGUGCCAUGUGUAAUUCCUUAACUGGAUUCUCUAUCCUCACCCCUUCCCUGUGCAUAUGGAGGGUUCUCGAAUAGUUGGUUCCACUUCACAUGAGAACAGGGGAAAGAUCUUGGGAGGCUUUGUAAGAGAUGUGCACUUCCUAGGCCAGAUCCUCAGCUGGUGUGAAUUAGGGUAGUUCCACUGAUUUCAGUAGAGCUUCACUGAACACGAGCUGAGGAUUUACCCUAUGUGUGAUACAAAGCCUAGCUCUGUUCCAUGGAGUAGGGGAGAUUGGGGCAGGUAAGCACAGGGCUGGGAAGGAGUUUGCCCAAGUUCAUACCAGAUAUCUCUGGAACAGCUUAGUGAAGAAUCUAGUUCUUUGGACUCCCAGACCUCUACUGUGGCCACAAGACUCUGAACAUGGAUUCCAUGGUACUUUGUAUUAAAGCAGUUAGUGUAGUUUUACUCUGUUUGUGCACGUACAUGAGUUUUCUUCCGAUUGGAACUGUUAUUGCUGUGAUGAUUAAAUAACCUUUAAUUUUUUUGGCAUUUCAGUCCAGCUAGUUAAGGCUUAUGAUCUAAUUAGCAUUUGGUAUUUGAUA